This 253-nucleotide ribosomal RNA is filed under the name uncultured bacterium. RNAcentral's name for it is "partial 16S ribosomal RNA". It matches the Rfam family "Bacterial small subunit ribosomal RNA", at positions 524 to 776 of the family's 1533-position model. The record is from RNAcentral.
UACGGAGGGUGCAAGCGUUAUCCGGAAUCACUGGGUUUAAAGGGUGCGUAGGCGGCUUGGUAAGUCAGAGGUGAAAGCCCGCAGCUUAACUGCGGAACUGCCUUUGAUACUGCCGAGCUUGAAAGAGGUUGAGGUCAGCGGAACGUGACAUGUAGCGGUGAAAUGCAUAGAUAUGUCACAGAACACCAAUUGCGAAGGCAGCUGGCUGGGCCUACUUUGACGCUGAGGAACGAAAGCGUGGGGAGCGAACAGG